Molecule: ribosomal RNA, 1346 nt
Filed under: uncultured bacterium
Lineage: Bacteria
Description: partial 16S ribosomal RNA
Rfam family: Bacterial small subunit ribosomal RNA
Source: RNAcentral
GACGAACGUUGGCGGCGUGCUUAACACAUGCAAGUCGAACGGAAAGGCCCUGCUUUUGUGGGGUGCUCGAGUGGCGAACGGGUGAGUAACACGUGAGUAACCUGCCCUUGACUUUGGGAUAACUUCAGGAAACUGGGGCUAAUACCGGAUAGGAGCUCCUGCUGCAUGGUGGGGGUUGGAAAGUUUCGGCGGUUGGGGAUGGACUCGCGGCUUAUCAGCUUGUUGGUGGGGUAGUGGCUUACCAAGGCUUUGACGGGUAGCCGGCCUGAGAGGGUGACCGGCCACAUUGGGACUGAGAUACGGCCCAGACUCCUACGGGAGGCAGCAGUGGGGAAUAUUGCACAAUGGGCGGAAGCCUGAUGCAGCAACGCCGCGUGCGGGAUGACGGCCUUCGGGUUGUAAACCGCUUUCGCCUGUGACGAAGCGUGAGUGACAGUAAUGGGUAAAGAAGCACCGGCUAACUACGUGCCAGCAGCCGCGGUGAUACGUAGGGUGCGAGCGUUGUCCGGAUUUAUUGGGCGUAAAGGGCUCGUAGGUGGUUGAUCGCGUCGGAAGUGUAAUCUUGGGGCUUAACCCUGAGCGUGCUUUCGAUACGGGUUGACUUGAGGAAGGUAGGGGAGAAUGGAAUUCCUGGUGGAGCGGUGGAAUGCGCAGAUAUCAGGAGGAACACCAGUGGCGAAGGCGGUUCUCUGGGCCUUUCCUGACGCUGAGGAGCGAAAGCGUGGGGAGCGAACAGGCUUAGAUACCCUGGUAGUCCACGCUGUAAACGGUGGGUACUAGGUGUGGGGUCCAUUCCACGGGUUCCGUGCCGUAGCUAACGCUUUAAGUACCCCGCCUGGGGAGUACGGCCGCAAGGCUAAAACUCAAAGGAAUUGACGGGGCCCCGCACAAGCGGCGGAGCAUGCGGAUUAAUUCGAUGCAACGCGUAGAACCUUACCUGGGUUUGACAUGGAUCGGGAGUGCUCAGAGAUGGGUGUGCCUCUUUUGGGGUCGGUUCACAGGUGGUGCAUGCCUGUCGUCAGCUCGUGUCGUGAGAUGUUGGGUUAAGUCCCGCAACGAGCGCAACCCUUGUUCACUGUUGCCAGCACGUUAUGGUGGGGACUCAGUGGAGACCGCCGGGGUCAACUCGGAGGAAGGUGGGGAUGACGUCAAGUCAUCAUGCCCCUUAUGUCCAGGGCUUCACGCAUGCUACAAUGGCUGGUACAGAGAGUGGCGAGCCUGUGAGGGUGAGCGAAUCUCGGAAAGCCGGUCUCAGUUCGGAUUGGGGUCUGCAACUCGACCUCAUGAAGUCGGAGUCGCUAGUAAUCGCAGAUCAGCAACGCUGCGGUGAAUACGUUCCCGGGGCU